GGAGAGGAGAGGAGAGGAGAGGAGAGGAGAGGAGAGGAGAGGAGAGGAGAGGAGAGGAGAGGAGAGGAGAGGAGAGGAGAGGAGAGGAGAGGAGAGGAGAGGAGAGGAAAAUACGUGUAGGAGCAGCAUUGUUUUUGUGGAAGAACUCAUUUGAAACUAUGCUAUCUCUGAGCUGCACAAAGAGAAGAGUCUUCUGGCUUUAAUCAGGUUUAAAUUGUUGUUUAUAUUUCAGUAGCCACUGUCCCACUAAGGUAAAUCACAACGUACCCAGCCGCCUUUGGAAUGCAAUUCGGGGCCUGCGGAUUUUCCAGAUAGUGGCAACUCAGAGCAGCCUGCCGCGUUGUGGCACGACCCCGAAAAUGCCAAUUUGGGGUGUUUUGUUUCGGCUUUCUUUCUUUUCUUUUUCUGUAAAUAAUUAGGCAGUCUGAUCAAACCUACGUGCGUUAAGAUGACAGGUGAUACCUUCAACAACACAUUUAAUAGUCUAAGAACUGGAGCGCACAAGAUGUCCCCCUGAGAGGAGAUCUGUGUCCCCGGGUCUGAACAGCUUCAGGGAUUCCCGAGACAAGAGCAGAAGCGGGCGCGUCUAUAGGCCGUGCUCCCACAGUGAGGCAUCGCAAAUCCAUCGGAACAGUGCUCGCUUUUCCCAGCCCACAUCCCCUGGUACCUCCGCGCGGUGUUUCUAUGUUUCCCACCGCAGCGGAGCGCUGCCCCCCGGCCCCGCUCCGUGUCAGUCCCAGCGCCGCACCUCUCGGCGGGAGGUGGGAGAAGGGAAGGACAGACGGGUUGCUUUUUUUCUUCUUUUGAAAGAAAGGAGAGAUGAAAGGAAGAGCGACAGAUGUCAGCGAUCAGCAUAUUGAAGGGAAAAAAAAAGAAGAAAGAAAAAAGCAAAUAUACCUUUACAUAUGUAUCUGUAUUAAAAAUAGCGCGCGGCACAGCCAACAGGAGAGGCGGGAGGAAGGGAGGAAGGGAGCCCGGCCCUCCGACGCCCCCACGGUCCCAUCUCGGGGCCUCCUUGCGCUGCUGCCGCUGAGGUGGCCGCCGGAUUUCUUCCUUCCGCCAAACGCGAUCCCCGGGAACACGCAGAAAUCGCGCCGGGGUCUGCGUCCGCUGCUGCCAGCGGGAGGAUUUGCAAAUUUCUUUUUCUUUUUUUUUUUUCUUAAUGCCCUUAUUUCUUCGAUGUAUGUAAAUGCAGAGGACGUACAGUGACGUCAAAGGACGUGACCCUGCCGCUAAACCUGAACGUGAACGGGAAUGGCGGCGCGGGGGGCGACGGUGAGGCCGGGAAGGGGUAGCGGUAGGGCCCCUUCCGCGGCCGCGCAGCUCUGCGCCUCCGCGCAUCCCACGCACAUGGGCAGAGCAUCCCGGCCCCGCGUGGCCCAGCACAAAGCCCACCCCGCUCCGCCGAGCCGCCCGCUCUCCCCUCCUUAUUUAUUUAUUUAUUUAUUUAUUUAUUUAUUUAUUUAUUUAUUUAUUUUCCCGUUAAUUGAAUGUUAUUUGCUGUUUCGGUUCAUCAGAUGACGAGCGGGAAAUAGGAAACUCAGAACCGUGGGGGGAAAAAAAAAAUAAAUAAAUGUUUAUCGUCCUCUCCAAAAAUGUUACGCGGUGGAUCGCGGUCCUGCAUCCCUACGGGGGCAGCCGUGCCUCGGCGGCACCUGCGGGGCUGAAAGGGGCUGCAAAGGACUGGAAGCGAGCACGGGGCGCGGUGGGGGGUAAAGGCGGCUUCCCACCUCUCCCCCCGUCCAUUUUCCUUUACCCAGGCCCUCCCUUCUCUCGCGGCACUGUUGUUUGCGGGGAUGUGAGAAGAAGUUUCAGCUGCGACGCUGAAUGCCAUCGGCGUCCUGAAAGUGGAGGGUGUUCUCUAUUAGGAUCCAAGCCUUCCUACCUCUUCCCCAGGCGUCUAUUUGCUGUGAUGCCUUCAGAGCAUCUCCCUUCGCCUCGGCACGGUCUCUCCAAUUUGCAUACACCGCACGCUGCCUCCCCUACCCGAGAGUCGGAAUCUGCGCGCAUCCCCAGAGGCCGAGGAUCGCUCUGCGCACCCCCGGGCCCCUCUCGGUCCUCACAGUGCGCCCUUUGUCCCACCGCACCGCUGGGGCAGCGCUGCCGGGGGUUCCCGAGUGCGUGGGCGGAGGGAGGAGGCAGUCCCCUACUGGCAUGCAUACACACAUGUAUACAUACGUACACGCGUGUGUGCGUGGCUGCUACAGACACACACACACCUCCUGCCGUCAGCCCGCCCCCGGCCCCCCGCCACCUGCCCACGCCACCGCGGACGUCGAGCACGGCCGCCAGCGGCCCGCCCCGAAAAGGGCAGCGGGAAGCCGUCCUGACGCCCCUCACCUCCUCCCGUCCUCCGCGCCGCUCCGCUCACCCAAACUUCCGCCCUCACGCCCUAAAACGCGGCGUUUCCACGCAGAUUACGCGCCGCUGGUUCGCGGGAGGCAGCGGAGGAGCCGGGGGAGCUAUGCCGGCGGGAGGGCACGCAGCGGUUUGUUUGGUUCAGAGGAAAGUUACCCAGAAGGGGAAUGCCACCCAAGGACAGCACUCGGCAGGAGCCGCUCUUCAGAUCACGGCUGGAGAAAGACACCUACAAAAAACUCCACCGCUCGCUGCGUUUAGGAUGCCGAGCUACUUUAAAGCCAUUUGGCGCAAGAACUGCACCAUGGAGCUACACGGAACUUUUAAAGCAGGAUGAGGAUGGAGGAACGACGUGAAUUCGUGGAGAUUUGCCCGUGGGGAUCUUUGUGCUUGCCUUACCGCCGGGACCGGGGGGGGAGAACCUCCCCCACCCUCGGAGCCGCAGCGAUAUUUAAACAACGCAGACAGAGCACAGGGAAUGACAUCCAAGGCACGACACGAUGCUGUAUUCUCGAUAGUUCUCCUGCUCUUAUUGCACAGUUCGGAUUCGUGCUGACAUCCCCUUGCAUGCCAGCAGCAGUACCGCCGGGUUGCCAGUACGGCGGCACCGCGGUCACCAGAGGGACGAUAAGGGCAGCUCUAUGGGAAGCGGCUCUCCUGGCUGCGGGAGCGGGACGCUGCGGGAGCGCUGCCCGCCGCGAGCUGCCGCGUCGUGGUUCCUCUCCGCGUGAAUUCUGCUCGGCCGUAGUGUGGAAUGGGGUUUGUGCCGUGCUGCACCUCCUCCCGUGGUUCCUGCGCGGAAGGCGGAGUGCCGGCACGGAGCCCGGCUCUGAUUGCGUUAAUUGGAGCGUCGUGAGCAUUCCUCUUUAAGGCAAAUAGGGACUGUUUGUUCUUAAGAAAUCCGUGCAGGAUGCUUCUUCUUUACGUCACAGCCAUCUGGAGACCUAUAAAAAGAUUAGACGACAAGCAUGGCAAUCACAUACUGAUCUACAGGCCAUUAGCAGGAGUUCAUUAGGGAGGUGGGAGGAAAAAGCAAACGUUUGCGUUCUGUGUCUCACAAUAUGCAGCUCGCCUUCCAAAGGCUUUUGGAAUAAGUAAGCUUUGUACUGUUGCGUUAUCUGGGAAUAAAAUUGCACGUAGUGUUGACCGCGGCUGUUAUUCCUGACGGUCAUUGCAGAGCAGCAGGUUGCAUGAACUUUUCACAAGCUGGAAAAUGCUGCAGCCCUGGAUAUGAAUACUCUGUGCAGUCUCACUGCACACGGAUAGACUUCGAGGCCCUGCCAAGUGAUUGAGAGUUAGAGAAUUCAUUUGAUACUGCGGCUAAAGACCAGCUGGUUAUAGCCAUCACGUUGGCUCACUGCUGAAGCUCUCAUGACGGGUGUAUUGUGUUUACUUCUUCAGUCAGUGUGUGAGUAAGCGAGGUGGUGUUGAGGACAGAUCUUCAUGUUUUAAAGGUACAUCUUGCAUCUCUGAAACAUGCUAUUUUUUUUUUUUUAAGCCUUGCAUUUAGCUGUAAAUCUGGUCACAUGGUGACAUGUUUUAAAUGCAUGCGUUACUGUGCACUUACACGUCUGCAUUGAUACGCACCGUACACACACAUAUGUAUGUAUAAGCAUAGACAAAUACACACGACAGCACAAGGAGUACCUGAACCAUCAUGCCUCUCACUGGAAGAAUUCAAUGCACGAGCUCACAGUCCUGUUGUGUGCAACACAUCCACAUACGUUUGAUCACUGAUGCUGCUGCCUCUGGAUGUUGCCACAAAAAGAAAAACAACAACAACAAAAAACACUUUUCUAUCUGUUCAGAAAGAAAAAAAAAAAAAAACAACCUCAUUCGAAUUUUAUAUAAUAUCGAAAUGAUCAUAUGCUUCCAGAUGUCCCACUUGUGCCUGAGCAGCCUGAGAGAUAAUGAAGAAGCAGAGGAAGUGUAAUACAGCCCAGUAGGAACCCUGACCACUCUGUGCAAUCAGCUCCUUGCUCUCUCCUACACUGGUGGCAAUUUGCAGUGACACCUAUACCGGGACAUCUGAUGGGCAUCACAGAAAUAUGCAAACAAACAAACAAACAAACAAAUAAAGCCCAAACUCAGAGGCUGAGGAUCUGAAAGCACUGAUUAGAGACUUCGUUAGUAAUGUGAACCCCGAAUUCAGGGUUUGGCAUCUUCACAGUGUGUAUCUGUUACUUCUUGGGCCUUGUCUGAUAAAGGAGAGCGCUCCCCCAUUUUCAUGGUUUUGUAGUGUUACUUUAUGAUAAAGAAUGGGCAGGCUGGUACUGUGCCAUUUUACAGUGCAACCACACAGCCCUGUCUGUGUAUUUUAAUGUGAAAAUGUACAUGUGCAUUCAUGCAGGCAGACUGACACAUGCGUAUGUGGCUCCCCUACACAUGCACCACCACACAGUCAUUUGUAAUGUAAACAGGCCAUGCACUCAGUACAGAGCUACAAGAACUUAAAUUUUUCUCCAUGCAUUGGAGAUUUUAGCCUUAAAACCAACAACAUAUGCAAACAUAAGUAGAUCUACAAACUGAUUCAUUGAAGUGUGGGUUGAUAUAUCCUCUAUAACUCUAAGGGAAGACAGAGCAGGACAUGCAGGGCUGUGCUGCUUCUCUUAGCAGAGGAUUUUAAGCCCUCCUUCCUUAGAGGAGUGGGUCAGUCCAUAUUCUGCCUGUGCUGAAAUUUCCGAUGGGCAUCCCAUUCCCACUGCAGCAUGCACAAGCUCCUGAAGUGCAUUUAUUAAUUCCAACAGCAAAUAGUGCAGAUCUCGGUGAGAAGAUCCACUGUACCAUGUACACUCGGGAGACCUUUAAUGUUUGCACUUAAGACUUAGGAAAAUUCUAUACGAGUUACAGUGUUAAAUAAUUCAAAUUAUAAUGUCCUUUUUUGGGGGGUGGGGGAGGGGGAAUCGAGAGAUUUAGGUCCUAAAGCUGUGGCAGUUGGGAAGGAGGUGCCCCAUCGGCCCCACGCGUUAUGCAACACGAGUGUCCGCACUCCGCGUACGGGGUUCAUAAACACAAGCGAUAAAUCCGCGUUUUUACGGAGGCUUUUGGCCGAAGAAUGCACAGCUUCGGAUGAGCACUGCUGCAGCUUUUACCUGCACUGCAUUCUAACGCGGACACAGACAGAGGAUGGGAGGAGAGGAGGUGCAGAUGCAAGGAGCCGGGCUAGCAGACUCCCCCAGACGCUCUGCAGAGCCGUCCUGGUGCGAGCACCGAGCCCUGUGGGCGCGCAGCGCCAGCGGGAAGCCAUGGGCGAGCGGCGCUCGGCGGCCGCGGCAAUUGCCGGUGCAGUCACACUCCGUCCCCGCUGCCAGCUCCGCAGGGAGAGGCGGGCGGGGGGCGGCUCCGGCCCCGAGAGCGCCUUCCUCUGCCCGCAGGGGCAGCUCUCCCGCCCCGGAGGAAGGCACGGCGGCGGCG
Long non-coding RNA from Gallus gallus (chicken), 5772 nucleotides. Lineage: Eukaryota; Metazoa; Chordata; Aves; Galliformes; Phasianidae. The record is from Ensembl.